GACGAACGCUGGCGGCGUGCUUAACACAUGCAAGUCGAACGGAAAGGCCCUGCUUUUGUGGGGUGCUCGAGUGGCGAACGGGUGAGUAACACGUGAGUAACCUGCCCUUGACUUUGGGAUAACUUCAGGAAACUGGGGCUAAUACCGGAUAGGAGCUCCUGCUGCAUGGUGGGGGUUGGAAAGUUUCGGCGGUUGGGGAUGGACUCGCGGCUUAUCAGCUUGUUGGUGGGGUAGUGGCUUACCAAGGCUUUGACGGGUAGCCGGCCUGAGAGGGUGACCGGCCCCCUUGGGACUGCGAGACGGCCCAGCCUCCUACGGGAGGCAGCAGUGGGGAAUAUUGCACAAUGGGCGGAAGCCUGAUGCAGCAACGCCGCGUGCGGGAUGACGGCCUUCGGGUUGUAAACCGCUUUCGCCUGUGACGAAGCGUGAGUGACGGUAAUGGGUAAAGAAGCACCGGCUAACUACGUG
RNAcentral lists this ribosomal RNA (468 nucleotides) under uncultured bacterium. RNAcentral's name for it is "partial 16S ribosomal RNA". It matches the Rfam family "Bacterial small subunit ribosomal RNA", at positions 28 to 507 of the family's 1533-position model. The record is from RNAcentral.